RNAcentral lists this ribosomal RNA (510 nucleotides) under uncultured bacterium. Its description in RNAcentral is "partial 16S ribosomal RNA". It matches the Rfam family "Bacterial small subunit ribosomal RNA", at positions 28 to 507 of the family's 1533-position model. The record is from RNAcentral.
GACGAACGCUGGCGGCGUGCUUAACACAUGCAAGUCGAACGAAGAGCGAUGGAAGCUUGCUUCUAUCACUCUUAGUGGCGAACGGGUGAGUAACGCGUAAUCAACCUGCCCUUCAGAGGGGGACAACAGUUGGAAACGACUGCUAAUACCGCAUACGAUCUAAUCUCGGCAUCGAGGAUAGAUGAAAGGUGGCCUCUACAUGUAAGCUAUCACUGAAGGAGGGGAUUGCGUCUGAUUAGCUAGUUGGAGGGGUAACGGCCCACCAAGGCGAUGAUCAGUAGCCGGUCUGAGAGGAUGAACGGCCACAUUGGGACUGAGACACGGCCCAGACUCCUACGGGAGGCAGCAGUGGGGAAUCUUCCGCAAUGGACGAAAGUCUGACGGAGCAACGCCGCGUGAGUGAUGACGGCCUUCGGGUUGUAAAGCUCUGUUAAUCGGGACGAAAGGCCUUCUUGCGAAUAGUGAGGAGGAUUGACGGUACCGGAAUAGAAAGCCACGGCUAACUACGUG